UGAGGAAUAUUGCGCAAUGGGGGCAAACCCUGACGCAGCAACGCCGCGUGAGUGAGGAAGGUUUUCGGACUGUAAAGCUCUGUCGAGCGGGAAGAAGUGUACCAUGGCUAAUAUCCAUGAUAUUUGACGGUACCGCUAGAGGAAGCACCGGCUAACUCCGUGCCAGCAGCCGCGGUAAUACGGGGGGUGCAAGCGUUGUUCGGAAUUAUUGGGCGUAAAGAGCGUGUAGGCGGCUGAGCAAGUCAGAUGUGAAAGCCCCGGGCUUAACCCGGGAAGUGCAUUUGAAACUGUUCGGCUUGAGUAGGGGAGAGGAAAGUGGAAUUCCUGGUGUAGAGGUGAAAUUCGUAGAUAUCAGGAGGAACACCGGCGGCGAAGGCGACUUUCUGGCCCUAUACUGAC
This 399-nucleotide ribosomal RNA is filed under the name uncultured bacterium. RNAcentral's name for it is "bacterial SSU rRNA". It matches the Rfam family "Bacterial small subunit ribosomal RNA", at positions 355 to 744 of the family's 1533-position model. The record is from RNAcentral.